AGUACUCAAAAAUUUUAAACAACCAGGCUUUGUUUGGUUCGGGUAUAUAAAUAAGAAUUAGUCAUUACUGGAAUAGGUACAAAUAUGUGGAUAAGAAAAAUAGCGUUUGAAUGAAAAUUGUGUUGUUUCUGGGGAUAAGAAAAAUAGCGUUUUGAUAGAUAAUAUGAAAUAAAAAAAUUAGUAGGUUUAUUUUCUUUUUUUUUUGAGAGAGAAAGGUAGCAUUCUACCCGCUUCGUUUAUUUCAUUUAGAAAUAAACUUAACUGAAAAUGAGAAUCAACUAGGAUUCGAAUUUGGAUCUCGGAUACCAACCACCAAGCCCUUUUGCCACUUGCGGUAGGAACGGUCGGUAAAAUAGUGGAUAGUUAUAUAUAGAAAAUGGAGAUGUUGGUGGGGAUAGUUAUACCAGCUUAUUUCAGAUAUCCGAGAACUAUUAUUCUUAAAUAAAAAAUUUACGUUUGGCUAUAAAGAAGAAAUAAGGGGUUAUCCCUUUUCUUAUCCCUAAUCUAAACGGUGCCUCAGAGUAUUUUGUGCUUGCUUUUGAAUCUCAGUUUUCGCUUUCGCACUAAAGAAAUUUUUUGUUACGUGAAAUACAAAGAAAAACAAGCCCAACAAACAAAGUUCAGAAAAAUAUUUCAACUUUUCGCUGCACUAAGGCUGCGUUUGGUUGGAGAACUAAAUUUUGGAGAACAACUUUUGUUGUUCCCGAGAACAGGAAAUAUUCCGGUACAAGAUAGAAUAAUUGUAAAUUUGUGUUUGGAUGCAUUCGAGGAUAUUCUAGAGGAUAUCCUUAAUAGCGUUUGGAUAAAAAGUCUAGAACAACGUCUAAAUAUAUUUUUAAAAAUAAAAUAAUUAAUUUAUAUUAGUAUAUUUUAUAUAAAAUUAUUUAUAAAAUUAUUUCAUAUAGUAAUUUAUAAUAUAAUAUUUUAUGUAAGAAUCUAAUUUAAAAUAAUAUAUAUUAUUUUAUUAUAUAUAAUAAUUUAUUUUAUGUAAUAAUUUAUUUUCUAUAAUUUAUUCAUAAUAUAUUAAUGAAUAAAGUAUAAUACUAACAAUAUCCCUAUAUUUUUAAUUAAUAAUUAGUAUAAAUUUUAAUACAAAUAAAAAAUAUAUAUAUAAUUAAAUAUUAAAGUAUAAAUGAUAGAGUUUAAUAAAAUAAAAAAUAUAUCAAAUUUAAUUAAUUUAUAUUAUAUAAUAAAAUUUAAGUAUAAAUAUAUUAUCAUAAAAAUUUAAGUAUAAAUUUCAAUACAAUUUAUAUAUAUAUAUAUAUAUAUAUAUAUAUAUGAUAAAAUGAUUUUAUGUAUAUAAUACUUAAUAUAAAAUAAAAUAAUUAAAUAUUAAUAUAUAAAUGAUAAAACUUAAUAAAAUAAAAUACAUAUCAAAUUUAAUUAAUUUAUAUUAUAUAAUAAAAUUUAAGUAUAAAUAUAUUAUCAUAAAAAUUUAAGUAUAAAUUUCAAUACAAGUUAAAAUAUAUAUAUAAUAUAUGAAAAAAUAAUUUUAUGUAUAUAAUAAUUAAUAUAAAAUAAAAUAAUUAAAUAUUAAUAUAUAAAUGAUAAAACUUAAUAAAAUAAAAUAUAUAUCAAAUUUAAUUAAUUUAUAUUAUAUAAUAAAAUUUAAGUAUAAAUAUAUUAUCAUAAAAAUAAUAUUUAUAUUAAUAUAUUUAUUUAUUAAAUUUGAGCAUUCAUUUAAUUUAUUUGAAAUUAAUUAAAAUAAAGUAUAAAAAAUUAAAAGGCCAGAAAAAAAAAAAAAAAAAAAAAAAAAAAAAAGCCCAAAUCUCUUGUCCAGCUUGUUUUAGGGAGAACAAGCUUACCGGAUUGUUCCCGGCUUAACGGGUUGUUCCGGGAACAACCCGGUUGUUCCAAAAUGCAUUGUGUUUGGAGGGAUAUCCCGCCUUGUUCUGGGAUAUCCCUCCAACCAAACGCAGCCUAAAGUUUUAAACUUUUUAUUUUAUAUUCGAUAUUCUCAUCAGUAAAAGAAAAUGUUAUUUUAAUGCUAGACCUCAUAGUCAGUCAACUUGUCCAAGUUGCAAACAAGUUAAAUUUACGUUCUUUUUCCUUUAUCAGUUUAAUUUUAGGUAAAAAAAUAUGCAGAAUUUAUCCGAGCUAUGGAUUACUUUGAAUUAGUUAUUCAAUCUUUCAAAAUUUUAAUUUUGUAUCCAAUCUUUCAAUUUGUUUGAUUUGAGUCAAUUAACGGUAUUCUGACUUCAAAUUUCAUUCAUAUUUAGUUAGUAUAAUUUAUGUAAUUUGUACAACUAUUUUUUUUGUUAAAGUAAAGUUUAAAUUUUGAGCCCAAGAACUGUUAACUAAUUUAAAUUAAACAAAUUGAAAGAUUAGAUAGUAAAAUUAAAAUUU
This 2346-nucleotide long non-coding RNA is filed under the name Ananas comosus (pineapple). RNAcentral's name for it is "long non-coding RNA (ACOM_LNC024852)". Lineage: Eukaryota; Viridiplantae; Streptophyta; Magnoliopsida; Poales; Bromeliaceae. The record is from RNAcentral.